GACGAACGCUGGCGGCGUGCCUAAUACAUGCAAGUCGAGCGAAGUUUUUCUGGUGCUUGCACCGGAAAACUUAGCGGCGAACGGGUGAGUAACACGUAAAGAACCUGCCUCAUAGACUGGGACAACUAUUGGAAACGAUAGCUAAUACCGGAUAACAGCAUUAACUGCAUGGUUGAUGUUUAAAAGUUGGUUUUGCUAACACUAUGAGAUGGCUUUGCGGUGCAUUAGCUAGUUGGUGGGGUAAAGGCCUACCAAGGCGACGAUGCAUAGCCGACCUGAGAGGGUGAUCGGCCACACUGGGACUGAGACACGGCCCAGACUCCUACGGGAGGCAGCAGUAGGGAAUCUUCCGCAAUGGGCGAAAGCCUGACGGAGCAACGCCGCGUGAGUGAAGAAGGAUUUCGGUUCGUAAAGCUCUGUUGUUAGGGAAGAAUGAUUGUGUAGUAACUAUACACAG
RNAcentral lists this ribosomal RNA (457 nucleotides) under Gemella haemolysans. RNAcentral describes it as "bacterial SSU rRNA". It matches the Rfam family "Bacterial small subunit ribosomal RNA", at positions 28 to 475 of the family's 1533-position model. The record is from RNAcentral. Lineage: Bacteria; Bacillati; Bacillota; Bacilli; Caryophanales; Gemellaceae.